This 1167-nucleotide ribosomal RNA is filed under the name uncultured Bifidobacterium sp. RNAcentral's name for it is "bacterial SSU rRNA". It matches the Rfam family "Bacterial small subunit ribosomal RNA", at positions 173 to 1357 of the family's 1533-position model. The record is from RNAcentral. Lineage: Bacteria; Bacillati; Actinomycetota; Actinomycetes; Bifidobacteriales; Bifidobacteriaceae.
UAAGCGCACAGUACCGCAUGGUACGGUGUGAAAAACUCCGGUGGUAUGAGAUGGACCCGCGUCUGAUUAGGUAGUUGGUGGGGUAACGGCCUACCAAGCCGACGAUCAGUAGCCGACCUGAGAGGGUGACCGGCCACAUUGGGACUGAGACACGGCCCAAACUCCUACGGGAGGCAGCAGUGGGGAAUAUUGCACAAUGGGGGAAACCCUGAUGCAGCGACGCCGCGUGAGCGAUGAAGUAUUUCGGUAUGUAAAGCUCUAUCAGCAGGGAAGAAAAUGACGGUACCUGACUAAGAAGCCCCGGCUAACUACGUGCCAGCAGCCGCGGUAAUACGUAGGGGGCAAGCGUUAUCCGGAUUUACUGGGCGUAAAGGGCUCGUAGGCGGUUCGUCGCGUCCGGUGUGAAAGUCCAUCGCCUAACGGUGGAUCUGCGCCGGGUACGGGCGGGCUGGAGUGCGGUAGGGGAGACUGGAAUUCCCGGUGUAACGGUGGAAUGUGUAGAUAUCGGGAAGAACACCAAUGGCGAAGGCAGGUCUCUGGGCCGUCACUGACGCUGAGGAGCGAAAGCGUGGGGAGCGAACAGGAUUAGAUACCCUGGUAGUCCACGCCGUAAACGGUGGAUGCUGGAUGUGGGGCCCUUUCCACGGGUCCCGUGUCGGAGCCAACGCGUUAAGCAUCCCGCCUGGGGAGUACGGCCGCAAGGCUAAAACUCAAAGAAAUUGACGGGGGCCCGCACAAGCGGCGGAGCAUGCGGAUUAAUUCGAUGCAACGCGAAGAACCUUACCUGGGCUUGACAUGUGCCGGAUCGCCGUGGAGACACGGUUUCCCUUCGGGGCCGGUUCACAGGUGGUGCAUGGUCGUCGUCAGCUCGUGUCGUGAGAUGUUGGGUUAAGUCCCGCAACGAGCGCAACCCUCGCCGCAUGUUGCCAGCGGGUGAUGCCGGGAACUCAUGUGGGACCGCCGGGGUCAACUCGGAGGAAGGUGGGGAUGACGUCAGAUCAUCAUGCCCCUUACGUCCAGGGCUUCACGCAUGCUACAAUGGCCGGUACAACGUGGUGCGACACGGUGACGUGGGGCGGAUCGCUGAAAACCGGUCUCAGUUCGGAUCGCAGUCUGCAACUCGACUGCGUGAAGGCGGAGUCGCUAGUAAUCGCGGAUCAGCAACGC